This is a long non-coding RNA of Oncorhynchus nerka (sockeye salmon), 884 nucleotides long. RefSeq lists it as uncharacterized. The record is from RefSeq and is a predicted model, not a curated record. NCBI's taxonomy places the organism in Eukaryota, Metazoa, Chordata, Actinopteri, Salmoniformes, Salmonidae. The transcript is spliced from 4 exons.
AUAUAUUUGUGUAUAUUCUUUAUCACCGCGGAAACGUGAGGUAACGUUACUCAUUUUAUAACCUUUAUGAUGUUAUAGUCAAUCGUGCUUAUGUAGCCACAUUCUUCUAUUAGCUCUGUAAAACAAUGCUAAAUGCGUCAGAGAAGUAUUAUCUUGUGUUGCAUUUUGAAGCUACCAUGGCCUUAUGACUCUCAAGUGGUGCAGCGGUCAAAGGCACAGCACAUCAGUACUAGAGGUGUCACUACAGACUCCCUGGUUCAAAUCCAGGCUGCGUUUCCAUCAAAAAACCAGAAACAUUAUUUGCCAAUAUCAUAACUGGAGCUGGACAUCUUUGGAGCUGAAGAAUGAGGACAGCUUUUGUAUGCUAACGUACACUCCUUAACAGUUGUACUGGAUGAAAACACAGCAAGAAAACGCAUGCCAAUAUGUAAUAUUCAUCUAUUUUAUUGCAGUACUGGUAGUUAUUUCAACAACUUGUUUUACUAGAGGACAAAAAACUGAAUAUGCGUAACCCAUAUUUAAUAUCCAUGCAGUGACUGAACAACAACUGCAUUUCCACCCCCAUCUCUAAGGCAUAGUAUCAUGGCUGGUCACCUGUCAAGUCACAUGUCAGGCAGACUUUGCAAUGCCUCCGUGUGCGACUACCUUGAGAAGCAGUUUGAGGGACUUUGCAGGGAAAAUGUCGUGCAGUGAGGCGUAGGCGAUUGUCUACAGCAGGACGACCCCCAGUGGAUGGGCGCCGAGGGGUGUGGUGCUCCUCCAGCAGCUCUCUCAUGAGGUUCUCUCUGUAUUUUUGGUGGUCCACCUUCCCUGUGGCCGACAUGGUUGCUGUAUGGACAGUGGAGAGGACAUGGACGUCUCGCUUGUCAUGCCACUUUACUGCC